GAAAUGCGAAAAGUAGUGUGAAUUGCAGAAUUCAGUGAAUCAUCGAAUCUUUGAACGCACAUUGCGCCCCUUGGUAUUCCAUGGGGCAUGCCUGUUCGAGCGUCAUUUUGUACCCUCAAGCACUGCUUGGUGUUGGGCGUUUGUCCUGCAAAGGACUCGCCUGAAAGCGAUUGGCGGCCAACGUACUGGUGGUAGAGCGCAGCACAAUUUGCGUCUCUCCCUUCUACGUCGGCGUCCAUGAAGCCUUUUUUCAACGUUUGACCUCGGAUCAGGUAGGGAUACCCGCUGAACUUAAGC
This 297-nucleotide unclassified non-coding RNA is filed under the name plant metagenome. Its description in RNAcentral is "partial contains 5.8S ribosomal RNA, internal transcribed spacer 2, and large subunit ribosomal RNA". The stretch from base 1 to 105 matches the Rfam family "5.8S ribosomal RNA", at positions 50 to 154 of the family's 154-position model. The record is from RNAcentral.